AGGGGGGGAGAGUCCUUAAAUAUGCCAACUACUGAAACCAAAAAAUAAAAAUGCAUUAAGGUUUCGGCAGGAGUAUUGCAUAGGCCAAACCAAAUGGAGUUUUCAUAUCUGCUCUAGCAAUUGGUGUUUUACAACAGUUAAGUUCAAAGAUAAGAAGUAAAGCAGUCUCAGCACUUAGGUUGAUGUAUACUUGGAAAGCACUGCAAUUCAAUAAGAACUUCGAGUGUCAUAUAUUUGUGAGCACCAGCGUGUGUGUAUAUGUGCAUGAAAGCAUUUAUGUUGGCAUGUAACUUGUGCAAACAUAGGGACUAAGAUAACUGAUGGGCAGAUAACUUAGAAAAAAAUGUUUUUCGACAAAAAGGGCACCAUAUACUAGUUCUUUGUGACUGAAGUAAAUCAAUGUUGACUGGUUCUAAGUGCAAACUCAAAGGCUUAAUUGUUGCAGUUAUAAUAUGCCAGCACAUCUGCAUGAUCACCUAGCAAAUAAUAAUAAGAAGAAGAAGAA
Molecule: unclassified non-coding RNA, 505 nt
Filed under: Hevea brasiliensis (rubber tree)
Lineage: Eukaryota; Viridiplantae; Streptophyta; Magnoliopsida; Malpighiales; Euphorbiaceae
Source: RNAcentral